GAUGAACGCUAGCGAUAGGCCUAACACAUGCAAGUCGAGGGGCAUCACAUGAAGUAGCAAUACGGAUGGUGGCGACCGGCGCACGGGUGAGUAACACGUAUGCAACCUGCCUUCAACAAGGGGAUAACCCGUUGAAAGACGGACUAAUACCCUAUAACACAGGGGUCCCGCAUGGGAAUAUUUGUUAAAGGACAACCGGUUGAAGAUGGGCAUGCGUUCCAUUAGCUAGUUGGCGGGGUAACGGCCACCAAGGCAACGAUGGAUAGGGGAACUGAGAGGUUUAUCCCCCACACUGGUACUGAGACACGGCCCAGACUCCUACGGGAGGCAGCAGUAGGGAAUUUUCGGCAAUGGGGGAAACCCUGACCGAGCAAUGCCGCGUGAACGAUGAAGGUCUUCGGAUUGUAAAGUUCUGUGAUUGGGGAAGAAUGGUAUUCUUAGGGAAUGAGGAGUACAU
RNAcentral lists this ribosomal RNA (457 nucleotides) under uncultured bacterium. RNAcentral describes it as "bacterial SSU rRNA". It matches the Rfam family "Bacterial small subunit ribosomal RNA", at positions 28 to 475 of the family's 1533-position model. The record is from RNAcentral.